Molecule: transfer RNA, 73 nt
Filed under: Gammaproteobacteria bacterium
Lineage: Bacteria; Pseudomonadati; Pseudomonadota; Gammaproteobacteria
Description: tRNA-Asn
Rfam family: tRNA
About the family: Transfer RNA (tRNA) molecules are approximately 80 nucleotides in length. Their secondary structure includes four short double-helical elements and three loops (D, anti-codon, and T loops).
Source: RNAcentral
UCCCCGGUAGCUCAGUUGGUAGAGCAAUCGGGUGUUGACCCAUUGGUCGCAGGUUCGAGUCCUGCCCGGGGAA